Molecule: ribosomal RNA, 497 nt
Filed under: uncultured bacterium
Lineage: Bacteria
Description: partial 16S ribosomal RNA
Rfam family: Bacterial small subunit ribosomal RNA
Source: RNAcentral
GAUGAACGCUGGCGGCGUGCUUAAUACAUGCAAGUCGAGCGAACAGACGAUAAGCUUGCUUCUCUGACGUUUGCGGCGGACGGGUGUGUAACGCGUGUAUAACCUACCUAUAUUACGGGUAAAACUACGGGAAACCGGAGCUAAUCCCGGAUAUUCUUUUGAUCCGCAUGGUUCAAUAGUGAAAGACGGUCUUGCGGUCUCUUAUAGAUGCAUCCGCGCUGCAUUAGCUAGUUGGUAGGGUAACGGCUUACCAAGGCAACGAUGCAUAGCCGACCUGAGAGGCGGAUCGGCGACACGGGAGCGGGAACGGGGUCAUGGCGACUACGGGAGGCAGCAGACGGCAAUGGUACGCAAUAGGCGAGAACCUGACAGAAUGACGCGAAGCGAGUUGUGGAGGUCUUGGGAGCGUAAUACUCUGUUAUUAGGGAAGAACAGAUGUGUCAGUAGAUGUGCACAUAGUGACGGUACCUAAUCAGAAAGCAACGGCUAACUACGUG